Long non-coding RNA from Oncorhynchus nerka (sockeye salmon), 459 nucleotides. RefSeq lists it as uncharacterized. NCBI's taxonomy places the organism in Eukaryota, Metazoa, Chordata, Actinopteri, Salmoniformes, Salmonidae. The transcript has 2 exons. The record is from RefSeq and is a predicted model, not a curated record.
ACAACCCUUGCUGAACCCCCGCCUCCUCUCAGUCCCCACCGCCAGCCAGCUCAGCGCUAUUUACGAGAAGGCAGCCCUUUGUUACAGAAAACGGAUUAUCCAGUCACUAAUUCCAUGGCACAUUACAACAAAGUGAGACAACAAUGCACCCCAUAUUGGCUACACAAGUACCACGACAAAAUUGUCUCGUCAGGUCUUACCAGCAUGUUUUGCCGUCUCCCUGCUUUCUCAAGUUCUGUUUCCCCGGUUUUGACCAUUCUGCCUGCCCUGACCCCGAGCCUGCCUGCCGUUCUGUACCUGUCUGACUCUGACCCAUUUACGAACCUCUGCCUGUCCUGACGCCGACCCUGCCUGCUGUUCUGUACCUUAUUGACUCUGCCCUGGAUUAUGGACAUCUGCCUGCCUUUGACCUGUCUUUUACCUAACCCCGGUUUGGGUCAAUAAACAUCUGUGACUCUA